Molecule: long non-coding RNA, 1159 nt
Organism: Acanthochromis polyacanthus (spiny chromis)
Lineage: Eukaryota; Metazoa; Chordata; Actinopteri; Pomacentridae
Exons: 6
Source: RefSeq, a predicted model, not a curated record
UCCCGUCCCUCCCCCUUGUUUUCUGCCCUUCCUGUCCUUUUGGUCCUUUCUGUUCCGUCUGGUCCCUGUGUCUGUAUGCGUGUCUGUCUGCUCCUUGGUUGCCCCAGUAGGUUUGGUUGGGCCCAUGGGGCGCCGGGAGGCGCCCGUUGGGGGGGGGUACUGUCACAGUUCCGCUCCUCUGUCCUGUCUGUCGGUCUGGUUGUCUCCCAUCCGCUCCUCUGCCCUGUCUGUCUAGUUGUCUCCCAUCCGCUUCUCUACCCUGUCUCUCCUCCCACAGCUCGGUGCCUGAGUGGAGUCUAGCUUCUCAGCUGACUCCACUCAGGCAAUCAACUACCUCCACGGCUCCCAGACAGCUAACUAUCAUCUCACUAACGACUCACCUCUACAAUAAGUACCGGCUCAGCCUUCCACUCCCUGCCAGAGUGUUGAACCAAAACCACAUACCAGCUGUCCGGGAUCCCCGCUGUCAUCCUUCCCCUCCGGCUCUCCCCCAGCCAGUUAUCACCGGUUCUUCCCUGCCUGGAACCCCCCACUCCUGCCUGGAACCCCCCACUCCUGCCUGGAACCCCCCACUCCUGCCUGGAACCCCCCACUCCUGCCUGGAACCCCCCACUCCUGCCUGGAACCCCCCACUCCUGCCUGGAACCCCCCACUCUUGCACUCUGGUUUCUCCAUCCUGGCCAUAAUCCACCCCAUACAAUAAAGCAUUCUAAAUCAUCCUCUGGUUGAGGAAGCGUGGCUCUCUGCUCAGGUCCAACCAGCUCUGUUUUGUGACAGCUCAGCUUUGACACUGUGGAUCAUGGCACCCUGUUAAUCUGUUAUAUCUCCGACCUCCUUCACUCGUACACCACAAAUCGAGCUCUCAGGCUGUGAUCCACGAGUUGCAAAGAAUUGCCAACACCGUUCCACUCAGCAUCCAUUGUACGACUAAAGAUACAGAGCUUGCCGGAUAUUCCAUUCCCAAGGGUACGAUGAUCCUCCAGAACUUGAGCUCAGUGCUGAAUGAGGAGGGACAGUGGAAAUACCCUCAUGAAUUCAAUCCUGAGAACUUCCUCAAUGACCAAGGAGAGUUAGUUAAACCAGACGCCUUCAUGCCUUUCUCUGCAGGUCCUCGGAUGUGUCUCGGAGAGGGUCCGGCAUGUAUCGAGCUUUUCCUCAU